Molecule: long non-coding RNA, 535 nt
Filed under: Equus caballus (horse)
Lineage: Eukaryota; Metazoa; Chordata; Mammalia; Perissodactyla; Equidae
Description: lncRNA (ENSECAG00000058537.1)
Source: RNAcentral
GUCUUUAGUGGGUCACUAAGCCCAGUCCCUGCUCCAUGGGAGGGGCUUAUGUGAUGAUGUGAAUACCAGAAGGUACCUCUCAAUGGUGGCCAUCUUGGAGACUGGCUAUCACAGUGUAAGAGCAGGAAGGGCUGCUGACCCGCUGGUGUCAUGAAUGGAGGAACUGAGGUCCAGGAGGCCAGAUAUCUUGUUUAUGGCCCAAGUCGGGACACCGAGCUAAUGAGCCCAAGAGCACGUGCUGCUGCUGGAAGGGGCCGGCACAGAGCGGUUCAGGCUGCUGGCUCCCCCCGCCCUGCCCUGCAGUUCCGGGGGUCUCGUUGUAGUUUGAGCCUCCGCCCGUCCUCCAGGCUGUCAGCGAAGACUGCAGGUGGCCUCCCUGGAGACCCCUCCCCGUUCGCUGCUGCUAACAGCUUAGCAAGCAGAGGACCGGCACUGCCAGUCUGAGUGCAGAGGAAGAGCCAGCGGGCGCUCCGGGAGGCCUCAGAGGCUUUUUGGACAAUAAAGGGUAUGGCAACUGGGUAUCCACUUGGUGGCC